This 267-nucleotide unclassified non-coding RNA is filed under the name Hevea brasiliensis (rubber tree). Lineage: Eukaryota; Viridiplantae; Streptophyta; Magnoliopsida; Malpighiales; Euphorbiaceae. The record is from RNAcentral.
GGAUACUUGAAUCAAGCUAAUGUAGAAGCAAUUCCCUUGUCUUAUCCAACCAAAAGUUGUAAGCUUUAUCCACAUACAGAACAAAGUGCAUCUACUCAAAUCAGAGUUAUGAAAUGUGACAAUUCAUCAAGGGGCCAACAGAUAUCAAGGAGCCAACAGAAAAGGCCUUGGCCUAGGUGGUUCCAUUUGGCAACUUGCCCAUAAGCACCUCAACAUAUGGCAGGGAAAGCAAUGUACUCAAUCUUGUUGGCUUUGGCCACCAUCAAG